This 432-nucleotide ribosomal RNA is filed under the name uncultured bacterium. RNAcentral's name for it is "partial 16S ribosomal RNA". It matches the Rfam family "Bacterial small subunit ribosomal RNA", at positions 29 to 506 of the family's 1533-position model. The record is from RNAcentral.
AGCGAACGCCGGCGGCAGGCCUAACACAUGCAAGUCGAACGAACUCUUCGGAGUUAGUGGCGGACGGGUGAGUAACACGUGGGAACGUGCCUUUUGGUUCGGAAUAACUCAGGGAAACUUGUGCUAAUACCGAAUGCGCCCUUCGGGGGAAAGAUUUAUCGCCAUUAGAGCGGCCCGCGUCUGAUUAGCUAGUUGGUGAGGUAACGGCUCACCAAGGCGACGAUCAGUAGCUGGUCUGAGAGGAUGACCAGCCACACUGGGACUGAGACACGGCCCAGACUCCUACGGGAGGCAGCAGUGGGGAAUCUUGCGCAAUGGGCGAAAGCCUGACGCAGCCAUGCCGCGUGAAUGAUGAAGGUCUUAGGAUUGUAAAAUUCUUUCACCGGGGACGAUAAUGACGGUACCCGGAGAAGAAGCCCCGGCUAACUUCGU